AGUCAACGCUGGCGGUAGGCCUAACGCAUGCCAGUCGAACGGCAGCACAGUAAGAGCUUGCUCUUACGGGUGGCGAGUGGCGGACGGGUGAGGAAUACAUCGGAAUCUACUUUUUCGUGGGGGAUAACGUAGGGAAACUUACGCUAAUACCGCAUACGACCUACGGGUGAAAGCAGGGGAUCUUCGGACCUUGCGCGAUUGAAUGAGCCGAUGUCGGAUUAGCUAGUUGGCGGGGUAAAGGCCCACCAAGGCGACGAUCCGUAGCUGGUCUGAGAGGAUGAUCAGCCACACUGGAACUGAGACACGGUCCAGACUCCUACGGGAGGCAGCAGUGGGGAAUAUUGGACAAUGGGCGCAAGCCUGAUCCAGCCAUACCGCGUGGGUGAAGAAGGCCUUCGGGUUGUAAAGCCCUUUUGUUGGGAAAGAAAAGCAGCAGGUUAAUACCCCGCUGUUCUGACGGUACCCAAAGAAUAAGCACCGGCUAACUUCGUG
RNAcentral lists this ribosomal RNA (492 nucleotides) under uncultured bacterium. RNAcentral's name for it is "partial 16S ribosomal RNA". It matches the Rfam family "Bacterial small subunit ribosomal RNA", at positions 32 to 507 of the family's 1533-position model. The record is from RNAcentral.